Molecule: ribosomal RNA, 442 nt
Filed under: uncultured bacterium
Lineage: Bacteria
Description: partial 16S ribosomal RNA
Rfam family: Bacterial small subunit ribosomal RNA
Source: RNAcentral
CCUACGGGAGGCAGCAGUGGGGAAUAUUGGGCAAUGGGCGCAAGCCUGACCCAGCAACGCCGCGUGAAGGAAGAAGGCUUUCGGGCUGUAAACUUCUUUUAAGAGGGAAGAGUAGAAGACGGUACCUCUUGAAUAAGCCACGGCUAACUACGUGCCAGCAGCCGCGGUAAUACGUAGGCGGCAAGCGUUGUCCGGAUUUACUGGGUGUAAAGGGCGGGUAGCCGGGCUGACAAGUCAGACGUGAAAUCCCGUGGCCCAACCACGGAACUGCCUUUGAAACUGUCGGUCUGGAGUGUCGGAGAGGCAGGCGGAAUUCCUAGUGUAGCGGUGAAAUGCGUAGAUAUUAGGAGGAACACCAGUGGCGAAGGCGGCCUGCUGGACGGCAACUGACGGUGAGGCGCGAAAGCGUGGGGAGCAAACAGGAUUAGAUACCCUAGUAGUC